GCUCCGAUGGUGUAGCUGGCAAACAUAGGGGGCUUUCGACCCCCUGCCCCGGAUUCAAGUUCCGGUCGGAGCA
This 73-nucleotide transfer RNA is filed under the name Promethearchaeota archaeon. RNAcentral's name for it is "Candidatus Lokiarchaeota archaeon (microbial mat metagenome) tRNA-Glu". It matches the Rfam family "tRNA". From Rfam's summary of the family: Transfer RNA (tRNA) molecules are approximately 80 nucleotides in length. Their secondary structure includes four short double-helical elements and three loops (D, anti-codon, and T loops). Lineage: Archaea; Promethearchaeati; Promethearchaeota. The record is from RNAcentral.